CCUACGGGAGGCAGCAGUAGGGAAUCUUCCACAAUGGGCGAAAGCCUGAUGGAGCAACGCCGCGUGGGUGAAGAAGUUCUUCGGAUCGUAAAACCCUGUUGUUAGAGAAGAAAGUGCGUGAGAGUAACUGUUCACGUUUCGACGGUAUCUAACCAGAAAGCCACGGCUAACUACGUGCCAGCAGCCGCGGUAAUACGUAGGUGGCAAGCGUUAUCCGGAUUUAUUUGGCGGAAAGGGAACGCAGGCGGUCUUUUAAGUCUGAUGUGAAAGCCUUCGGCUUAACCGGAGUAGUGCAUUGGAAACUGGGAGACUUGAGUGCAGAAGAGGAGAGUGGAACGCCAUGUGUAGCGGUGAAAUGCGUAGAUAUAUGGAAGAACACCAGUGGCGAAAGCGGCUCUCUGGUCUGUAACUGACGCUGAGGUUCGAAAGCGUGGGUAGCAAACAGGAUUAGAUACCCUUGUAGUC
This 465-nucleotide ribosomal RNA is filed under the name uncultured bacterium. RNAcentral describes it as "partial 16S ribosomal RNA". It matches the Rfam family "Bacterial small subunit ribosomal RNA", at positions 338 to 795 of the family's 1533-position model. The record is from RNAcentral.